RNAcentral lists this transfer RNA (64 nucleotides) under Ixodes scapularis (black-legged tick). It matches the Rfam family "tRNA", at positions 7 to 64 of the family's 71-position model. From Rfam's summary of the family: Transfer RNA (tRNA) molecules are approximately 80 nucleotides in length. Their secondary structure includes four short double-helical elements and three loops (D, anti-codon, and T loops). The record is from Rfam by way of RNAcentral. Lineage: Eukaryota; Metazoa; Arthropoda; Arachnida; Ixodida; Ixodidae.
GUUAGCUUAGUUAGUAGAGAGCGCUCCACUGGAAAUGGAGAGGUCCCUGGUUCGAUACCAGAAC